GAUGAAGAACGUAGCGAAAUGCGAUAAGUAAUGCGAAUUGCAGAAUUUCCGUGAGUCAUCGAAUCUUUGAACGCACAUUGCGCCCGCCAGUAUUCUGGCGGGCAUGCCUGUUCGAGCGUCAUUUCAACCAUCAAGCCCCCGGCUUGUGUUGGGGACCUGCGGCUGCCGCAGGCCCUGAAAACCAGUGGCGGGCUCGCUAGUCACUCCGAGCGUAGUAAUACAUCUCGCUCAGGGCGUGCUGCGGGUUCCGGCCGUUAAAAGCCUUAUUUACCCAAGGUUGACCUCGGAUCAGGUAGGAAGACCCGCUGAACUUAAGCAUAUCAAUAAGCGGAGGA
This 335-nucleotide unclassified non-coding RNA is filed under the name soil metagenome. Its description in RNAcentral is "partial contains 5.8S ribosomal RNA, internal transcribed spacer 2, and large subunit ribosomal RNA". The stretch from base 1 to 121 matches the Rfam family "5.8S ribosomal RNA", at positions 35 to 154 of the family's 154-position model. The record is from RNAcentral.